RNAcentral lists this ribosomal RNA (504 nucleotides) under uncultured bacterium. RNAcentral's name for it is "partial 16S ribosomal RNA". It matches the Rfam family "Bacterial small subunit ribosomal RNA", at positions 28 to 506 of the family's 1533-position model. The record is from RNAcentral.
GACGAACGCUGGCGGCGUGCCUAAUACAUGCAAGUAGAACGCACAGUUUAUACCGUAGCUUGCUACACCAUAAACUGUGAGUUGCGAACGGGUGAGUAACGCGUAGGUAACCUGCCUGGUAGCGGGGGAUAACUAUUGGAAACGAUAGCUAAUACCGCAUAAUAUUAAUUAUUGCAUGAUAAUUGAUUGAAAGAUGCAAUUGCAUCACUACCAGAUGGACCUGCGUUGUAUUAGCUAGUAGGUGAGGUAACGGCUCACCUAGGCGACGAUACAUAGCCGACCUGAGAGGGUGAUCGGCCACACUGGGACUGAGACACGGCCCAGACUCCUACGGGAGGCAGCAGUAGGGAAUCUUCGGCAAUGGACGAAAGUCUGACCGAGCAACGCCGCGUGAGUGAAGAAGGUUUUCGGAUCGUAAAGCUCUGUUGUAAGAGAAGAACGGGUGUGAGAGUGGAAAGUUCACACUGUGACGGUAUCUUACCAGAAAGGUACGGCUAACUACGU